RNAcentral lists this ribosomal RNA (253 nucleotides) under uncultured bacterium. RNAcentral's name for it is "partial 16S ribosomal RNA". It matches the Rfam family "Bacterial small subunit ribosomal RNA", at positions 524 to 776 of the family's 1533-position model. The record is from RNAcentral.
UACGUAGGGCGCAAGCGUUAUCCGGAAUUAUUGGGCGUAAAGAGCUCGUAGGUGGCUUGUCGCGUCUGCCGUGAAAGUCCGGGGCUCAACUCCGGAUCUGCGGUGGGUACGGGCAGACUAGAGUGAUGUAGGGGAGACUGGAAUUCCUGGUGUAGCGGUGAAAUGCGCAGAUAUCAGGAGGAACACCGAUGGCGAAGGCAGGUCUCUGGGCAUUAACUGACGCUGAGGAGCGAAAGCAUGGGGAGCGAACAGG